This is a long non-coding RNA of Photinus pyralis (common eastern firefly), 497 nucleotides long. RefSeq lists it as uncharacterized. NCBI's taxonomy places the organism in Eukaryota, Metazoa, Arthropoda, Insecta, Coleoptera, Lampyridae. The record is from RefSeq and is a predicted model, not a curated record. The transcript is spliced from 3 exons.
CCCUGUUGGCCGGACGAUAGCUAGAGUGUGGUGAAUGAAAUAUUAGGGGUUGUACAACCAAAGCGCUUUGUUUGCUACCGCCGUAUGUGUUUAUUCGAUGAAUACAGCAGCCCUCCGUACUGUCAACUGGCAAGUAGCGUUUAGUCUUACCGCCCAAAAAUUACGGUAAGUAAAAUGGAUAAAUAUGAAGCUACCUAACUGUAGAAACGACCUAAUUGCUAAAAUUAAGAUGGUUAUAAUGACCGAUGGACGAAUAAUUAACGGAUUGGAUGGAUCACAGGUAUUGGUAUGCAGAUAUGAGCCCAGGGUCAGCAACAACAACAACCACAAGGGCUGAUUUACGCGACGCUGCUAUCCAGUGUGGUGAUAAGGAGUUGAACAAUAACUUGAUUAGUGACUUCCUUAGGUACCGCAAAUCACGUUGCUCUCGGAAAGUACAGGUGUAAAAUGAACGAGAUAUCAGUUUACGCCAAAUACGAAAUUUUAUGUUAUCAAUU